RNAcentral lists this small RNA (19 nucleotides) under Arabidopsis thaliana (thale cress). Its description in RNAcentral is "Ath_wt_01621". The record is from RNAcentral. Lineage: Eukaryota; Viridiplantae; Streptophyta; Magnoliopsida; Brassicales; Brassicaceae.
GCGUGCUUGGGCGAGAGUA